CGAGCGAGUCGGGUGAUCGCGUCGAAGUAUCGACGAGGAAAGUCCGGGCUCCGCAGGGCAAGGUGGUUGCCAGCGGCAACCGGCCCAUUUACUGGGUUAGGGAAAGUGCCACAGAAAAGAAAACCCUCGGUUUAUCUGAGGAGAGCUGAAACGGUGGUGUAAGAGACCACCAGCUCCGUUGUGAGGCGGAGGCUUGGUAAACCCCACCUGGAGCAAGGCCGAAUAGGGGAGGGCUGAAGCGGCCCGCUGACCUCCCGGGUGUCGCCGCUUGAGCCGCAUGGCAACAUGUGGCCUAGAUAGAUGAUCACCCAUACCGCUUAGGCGGUUGGACAGGACCCGGCUUAUAGACUCGCUCAUUUG
RNAcentral lists this RNase P RNA (360 nucleotides) under Armatimonadota bacterium. Its description in RNAcentral is "Armatimonadetes bacterium (anaerobic digester metagenome) RNase P RNA component class A". It matches the Rfam family "Bacterial RNase P class A". Rfam says of the family: Ribonuclease P (RNase P) is a ubiquitous endoribonuclease, found in archaea, bacteria and eukarya as well as chloroplasts and mitochondria. Its best characterised activity is the generation of mature 5'-ends of tRNAs by cleaving the 5'-leader elements of precursor-tRNAs. Cellular RNase Ps are ribonucleoproteins. Lineage: Bacteria; Bacillati; Armatimonadota. The record is from RNAcentral.